RNAcentral lists this ribosomal RNA (501 nucleotides) under uncultured Actinomycetes bacterium. Its description in RNAcentral is "bacterial SSU rRNA". It matches the Rfam family "Bacterial small subunit ribosomal RNA", at positions 9 to 523 of the family's 1533-position model. Lineage: Bacteria; Bacillati; Actinomycetota; Actinomycetes. The record is from RNAcentral.
GAGUUUGAUCAUGGCUCAGGAUGAACGCUGGCGGCGUGCUUAACACAUGCAAGUCGAACGGUGAAAGAGAGCUUGCUCUCUGGAUCAGUGGCGAACGGGUGAGUAACACGUGAGCAAUCUGCCCCUGACUCUGGGAUAACAGCUGGAAACAGCUGCUAAUACCGGAUACGAGUUGCGAAGGCAUCUUCAGCAGCUGGAAAGAAUUUCGGUCAGGGAUGAGCUCGCGGCCUAUCAGCUUGUUGGUGAGGUAAUGGCUCACCAAGGCGUCGACGGGUAGCCGGCCUGAGAGGGUGACCGGCCACACUGGGACUGAGACACGGCCCAGACUCCUACGGGAGGCAGCAGUGGGGAAUAUUGCACAAUGGGCGAAAGCCUGAUGCAGCAACGCCGCGUGAGGGACGACGGCCUUCGGGUUGUAAACCUCUUUUAGCAAGGAAGAAGCGAAAGUGACGGUACUUGCAGAAAAAGCGCCGGCUAACUACGUGCCAGCAGCCGCGGUAC